This 104-nucleotide small nuclear RNA is filed under the name Saimiri boliviensis boliviensis (Bolivian squirrel monkey). Lineage: Eukaryota; Metazoa; Chordata; Mammalia; Primates; Cebidae. The record is from RNAcentral.
GUGCUUGCUUCGGCAGCACAUAUACUAAAAUUGGAACGAUACAGAGAUUAGCAUGGUCCCUGCACAAAGAUGACAUGCAAAUUUGUGAAGUGUUCCAUAUUAAA